RNAcentral lists this long non-coding RNA (197 nucleotides) under Ornithorhynchus anatinus (platypus). RNAcentral describes it as "lncRNA (ENSOANG00000036490.1)". Lineage: Eukaryota; Metazoa; Chordata; Mammalia; Monotremata; Ornithorhynchidae. The record is from RNAcentral.
UGGGGCAGGCGCGCUCCGGGGCCCACGAGAAGGGGGCGGAGCGCGAGGAAGCGGCGGCGGUUUCCUUCGAAGAAAGGGGGACCCGGCGAGGCGCGUUGUAGGGAAACCGUUAGCAUGCCUCCGGUCCUUCUCUCGGGAGCACUGGGCUGAGCCAGGACUAGGUUGGCACCAGGGCCCAAGCUGCCUGUGACGGGCAG